This 34-nucleotide non-coding RNA is filed under the name Alexandrium minutum. Lineage: Eukaryota; Dinophyceae; Gonyaulacales; Pyrocystaceae. The record is from RNAcentral.
UUUUUUUUUUUUUUUUUUUUUUUUUUUUUUUCCA